This 2439-nucleotide ribosomal RNA is filed under the name Staphylococcus aureus F54452. RNAcentral describes it as "bacterial LSU rRNA". It matches the Rfam family "Bacterial large subunit ribosomal RNA", at positions 479 to 2925 of the family's 2925-position model. Lineage: Bacteria; Bacillati; Bacillota; Bacilli; Caryophanales; Staphylococcaceae. The record is from RNAcentral.
AGUGACCGAUAGUGAACCAGUACCGUGAGGGAAAGGUGAAAAGCACCCCGGAAGGGGAGUGAAAUAGAACCUGAAACCGUGUGCUUACAAGUAGUCAGAGCCCGUUAAUGGGUGAUGGCGUGCCUUUUGUAGAAUGAACCGGCGAGUUACGAUUUGAUGCAAGGUUAAGCAGUAAAUGUGGAGCCGUAGCGAAAGCGAGUCUGAAUAGGGCGUUUAGUAUUUGGUCGUAGACCCGAAACCAGGUGAUCUACCCUUGGUCAGGUUGAAGUUCAGGUAACACUGAAUGGAGGACCGAACCGACUUACGUUGAAAAGUGAGCGGAUGAACUGAGGGUAGCGGAGAAAUUCCAAUCGAACCUGGAGAUAGCUGGUUCUCUCCGAAAUAGCUUUAGGGCUAGCCUCAAGUGAUGAUUAUUGGAGGUAGAGCACUGUUUGGACGAGGGGCCCCUCUCGGGUUACCGAAUUCAGACAAACUCCGAAUGCCAAUUAAUUUAACUUGGGAGUCAGAACAUGGGUGAUAAGGUCCGUGUUCGAAAGGGAAACAGCCCAGACCACCAGCUAAGGUCCCAAAAUAUAUGUUAAGUGGAAAAGGAUGUGGCGUUGCCCAGACAACUAGGAUGUUGGCUUAGAAGCAGCCAUCAUUUAAAGAGUGCGUAAUAGCUCACUAGUCGAGUGACACUGCGCCGAAAAUGUACCGGGGCUAAACAUAUUACCGAAGCUGUGGAUUGUCCUUUGGACAAUGGUAGGAGAGCGUUCUAAGGGCGUUGAAGCAUGAUCGUAAGGACAUGUGGAGCGCUUAGAAGUGAGAAUGCCGGUGUGAGUAGCGAAAGACGGGUGAGAAUCCCGUCCACCGAUUGACUAAGGUUUCCAGAGGAAGGCUCGUCCGCUCUGGGUUAGUCGGGUCCUAAGCUGAGGCCGACAGGCGUAGGCGAUGGAUAACAGGUUGAUAUUCCUGUACCACCUAUAAUCGUUUUAAUCGAUGGGGGGACGCAGUAGGAUAGGCGAAGCGUGCGAUUGGAUUGCACGUCUAAGCAGUAAGGCUGAGUAUUAGGCAAAUCCGGUACUCGUUAAGGCUGAGCUGUGAUGGGGAGAAGACAUUGUGUCUUCGAGUCGUUGAUUUCACACUGCCGAGAAAAGCCUCUAGAUAGAAAAUAGGUGCCCGUACCGCAAACCGACACAGGUAGUCAAGAUGAGAAUUCUAAGGUGAGCGAGCGAACUCUCGUUAAGGAACUCGGCAAAAUGACCCCGUAACUUCGGGAGAAGGGGUGCUCUUUAGGGUUAACGCCCAGAAGAGCCGCAGUGAAUAGGCCCAAGCGACUGUUUAUCAAAAACACAGGUCUCUGCUAAACCGUAAGGUGAUGUAUAGGGGCUGACGCCUGCCCGGUGCUGGAAGGUUAAGAGGAGUGGUUAGCUUCUGCGAAGCUACGAAUCGAAGCCCCAGUAAACGGCGGCCGUAACUAUAACGGUCCUAAGGUAGCGAAAUUCCUUGUCGGGUAAGUUCCGACCCGCACGAAAGGCGUAACGAUUUGGGCACUGUCUCAACGAGAGACUCGGUGAAAUCAUAGUACCUGUGAAGAUGCAGGUUACCCGCGACAGGACGGAAAGACCCCGUGGAGCUUUACUGUAGCCUGAUAUUGAAAUUCGGCACAGCUUGUACAGGAUAGGUAGGAGCCUUUGAAACGUGAGCGCUAGCUUACGUGGAGGCGCUGGUGGGAUACUACCCUAGCUGUGUUGGCUUUCUAACCCGCACCACUUAUCGUGGUGGGAGACAGUGUCAAGCGGGCAGUUUGACUGGGGCGGUCGCCUCCUAAAAGGUAACGGAGGCGCUCAAAGGUUCCCUCAGAAUGGUUGGAAAUCAUUCAUAGAGUGUAAAGGCAUAAGGGAGCUUGACUGCGAGACCUACAAGUCGAGCAGGGUCGAAAGACGGACUUAGUGAUCCGGUGGUUCCGCAUGGAAGGGCCAUCGCUCAACGGAUAAAAGCUACCCCGGGGAUAACAGGCUUAUCUCCCCCAAGAGUUCACAUCGACGGGGAGGUUUGGCACCUCGAUGUCGGCUCAUCGCAUCCUGGGGCUGUAGUCGGUCCCAAGGGUUGGGCUGUUCGCCCAUUAAAGCGGUACGCGAGCUGGGUUCAGAACGUCGUGAGACAGUUCGGUCCCUAUCCGUCGUGGGCGUAGGAAAUUUGAGAGGAGCUGUCCUUAGUACGAGAGGACCGGGAUGGACAUACCUCUGGUGUACCAGUUGUCGUGCCAACGGCAUAGCUGGGUAGCUAUGUGUGGACGGGAUAAGUGCUGAAAGCAUCUAAGCAUGAAGCCCCCCUCAAGAUGAGAUUUCCCAACUUCGGUUAUAAGAUCCCUCAAAGAUGAUGAGGUUAAUAGGUUCGAGGUGGAAGCAUGGUGACAUGUGGAGCUGACGAAUACUAAUCGAUCGAAGACUUAAUCAA